CCGCGGGAACACCGGCGGCCCGAGUGGUGAUCGUGAUUAUUGGGUCUAAAGGGUCCGUAGCCGGUUUGGUCAGUCCUCCGGGAAAUCUGAUAGCUCAACUAUUAGGCUUUCGGGGGAUACUGCCAGACUUGGAACCGGGAGAGGUAAGAGGUACUACAGGGGUAGGAGUGAAAUCUUGUAAUCCCUGUGGGACCACCUGUGGCGAAGGCGUCUUACCAGAACGGGUUCGACGGUGAGGGACGAAGCUGGGGGCACGAACCGGAUUAGAUACCCGGGUAGUCCCAGCCGUAAACGAUGCUCGCUAGGUGUCAGGCAUGGCGCGACCGUGUCUGGUGCCGCAGGGAAGCCGUGAAGCGAGCCACCUGGGAAGUACGGCCGCAAGGCUGAAACUUAAAGGAAUUGGCGGGGGAGCACAACAACGGGUGGAAGCCUGCGGUUUAAUUGGACUCAACGCCGGACAACUCACCGGGGGCGACAGCAAUAUGUAGGCCAAGCUGAAGACUUUGCCUGAAUCGCUGAGAAGAGGUGCAUGG
Molecule: ribosomal RNA, 533 nt
Filed under: uncultured archaeon
Lineage: Archaea
Description: bacterial SSU rRNA
Rfam family: Archaeal small subunit ribosomal RNA
Source: RNAcentral